AGCGAACGUUAGCGGCGGGCCUAACACAUGCAAGUCGAACGCGAAAGGUCUUCGGACUGAGUAGAGUGGCGCACGGGUGAGUAACACGUAGGUAAUCUACCCUUUGGCGGGGGAUAACGUUCCGAAAGGAGCGCUAAUACCGCAUAAAGACCCACGGAGUCUCCGGACGCUGUGGGAAAAGGUGGCCUCUUCUUGAAAGCUACCACCGAAGGAUGAGCCUGCGUCCCAUCAGCUAGUUGGUAAGGUAAUGGCUUACCAAGGCGAAGACGGGUAGCUGGUUUGAGAGAAUGAUCAGCCACACUGGCACUGGAACACGGGCCAGACUCCUACGGGAGGCAGCAGUGAGGAAUAUUGGGCAAUGGGCAAAAGCCUGACCCAGCCACGCCGCGUGAGUGAUGAAGGCCCUCGGGUCGUAAAGCUCUGUGGAGAGGGACGAAAACCCUGGUUUCAAAUAGGCUCCAGGCUUGACGGUACCUCUUUAGCAAGCACCGGCUAACUCUGUGCCAG
This 507-nucleotide ribosomal RNA is filed under the name uncultured bacterium. RNAcentral describes it as "bacterial SSU rRNA". It matches the Rfam family "Bacterial small subunit ribosomal RNA", at positions 29 to 511 of the family's 1533-position model. The record is from RNAcentral.